GACGAACGCUGGCGGCGUGCUUAACACAUGCAAGUCGAACGGUAAGGCUCCAGCUUGCUGGGGUACACGAGUGGCGAACGGGUGAGUAACACGUGGGUGACCUGCCCUGCACUUCGGGAUAAGCCUGGGAAACUGGGUCUAAUACCGGAUAGGACCGCACCGUGAGGGUGUGGUGGAAAGUUUUUUCGGUGUGGGAUGGGCCCGCGGCCUAUCAGCUUGUUGGUGGGGUAAUGGCCUACCAAGGCGGCGACGGGUAGCCGGCCUGAGAGGGUGGACGGCCACAUUGGGACUGAGACACGGCCCAGACUCCUACGGGAGGCAGCAGUGGGGAAUAUUGCACAAUGGGCGGAAGCCUGAUGCAGCGACGCCGCGUGGGGGAUGACGGCCUUCGGGUUGUAAACUCCUUUCACCAUCGACGAAGGGUUUCUGACGGUAGAUGGAGAAGAAGCACCGGCUAACUACGUGCCAGCAGCCGCGGUAAUACGUAGGGUGCGAGCGUUGUCCGGAAUUACUGGGCGUAAAGAGCUCGUAGGUGGUUUGUCGCGUCGUCUGUGAAAUUCCGGGGCUUAACUCCGGGCGUGCAGGCGAUACGGGCAUAACUUGAGUACUGUAGGGGAGACUGGAAUCCCUGGUGUAGCGGUGAAAUGCGCAGAUAUCAGGAGGAACACCGGUGGCGAAGGCGGGUCUCUGGGCAGUAACUGACGCUGAGGAGCGAAAGCAUGGGGAGCGAACAGGAUUAGAUACCCUGGUAGUCCAUGCCGUAAACGGUGGGCGCUAGGUGUGGGUUUCCUUCCACGGGAUCCGUGCCGUAGCUAACGCAUUAAGCGCCCCGCCUGGGGAGUACGGCCGCAAGGCUAAAACUCAAAGGAAUUGACGGGGGCCCGCACAAGCGGCGGAGCAUGUGGAUUAAUUCGAUGCAACGCGAAGAACCUUACCUGGGCUUGACAUAUACAGGAUCGCGCCAGAGAUGGUGUUUCCCUUGUGGCUUGUAUACAGGUGGUGCAUGGUUGUCGUCAGCUCGUGUCGUGAGAUGUUGGGUUAAGUCCCGCAACGAGCGCAACCCUUGUCUUAUGUUGCCAGCACGUUGUGGUGGGGACUCGUAAGAAACUGCCGGGGUUAACUCGGAGGAAGGUGGGGAUGAUGUCAAAUCAUCAUGCCCCUUAUGUCCAGGGCUUCACACAUGCUACAAUGGUCGGUACAGUGGGUUGCCAGUCCGUGAGGGCGAGCUAAUCCCGCAAAGCCGGUCUCAGUUCGGAUCGGGGUCUGCAACUCGACCCCGUGAAGUCGGAGUCGCUAGUAAUCGCAGAUCAGCAACGCUGCGGUGAAUACGUUCCCGGGCCU
Molecule: ribosomal RNA, 1341 nt
Filed under: uncultured bacterium
Lineage: Bacteria
Description: 16S ribosomal RNA
Rfam family: Bacterial small subunit ribosomal RNA
Source: RNAcentral